CCCUUAUCAUCACCACGAAGAAGAAAACACAAAUAAAUAAAUAAAUAAGAAAUGGCAGGAAUCAUUCACAAUAUGGAGCAGAAAUUGGGAGUGGGAGGAGGAGUCGACCACAAGAAAGAGGGAAAAAAGCACCACAAAGUCGAGGAGAAGAAGCAGGUCAAGAAGCACGGUGAAGGCGGCGGCGUGAUGGACAAUAUCAAGGGCAAGAUCUACGGCGGCGGCGGCAUGAAGAAGCACGAGGAGGUCAAGAAGCACGGUGAAGGCCGCGGCGUGAUGGACAAUAUCAAGGGCAAGAUCCUCGGCGGUGCAGCGUGAUGGAUAAUAUCAAGGGCAAGAUCCCCGAUUAGACGAUCCAUCGGUUGAUCUGUUGCCGUAAGUUGAUCCAUCUGUUGCCGUUGUGGAGAUGUGUGGAUGCUGGGGUGCUUAAUUAUAUGGUGUUAAUUUUCUUAGUGUCGCUUUUGUCAUGUAAUGAUGAUACUCGAUGAAUAAGAAGUUACUACUUUUGUAUGUUUUGGGAUCCGAUCGACUUUACCUGGCACCAACUCAAUUUCUGGUAACA
Long non-coding RNA from Asparagus officinalis (garden asparagus), 559 nucleotides. RefSeq lists it as uncharacterized. The transcript is spliced from 3 exons. Lineage: Eukaryota; Viridiplantae; Streptophyta; Magnoliopsida; Asparagales; Asparagaceae. The record is from RefSeq and is a predicted model, not a curated record.